UUUGAUUAGGACAUUAAAGAGUGUUUUAGAUUAGUUAUUGUAGUUACUCACAAUAUUUUCUAUGUUUUAACUUUAUGGUCAGUUUUAUUUACAUUUCUCAUCGAAUUAAGACCAGGAAUUUACACGCUUAAAUAUUAAAUGAACAUCAAAGUUCUUGAUAAAACAUUAGAAGAAUGAUACAAAAUAAAUACAAAUGUGUAUAAUCUUCGGAAGAUGAUGAACAGGAUUGUGUAGUUGAAGGAGCAGGGAUAUUACAAUGGACUUGGCGUACAUGUCUAUCUAAAGUAUGUAUGGUUUUAAAGGUUUUAUAACAAAAUUGACACGAAUUAGGAUAAAUGGCUCGUGGCUCUUUGUCAUGCUGUCUCCUGAAGUGUCGAUAUAAAGAGCUACGAGCUGUAAACGUGGUUUUGCAUUCACUACAAGCAAAGUCCAUGUUGGUUUAUUGGAUAAAUUACAAAUAAAAUAGAUAUCGAGAA
Long non-coding RNA from Ctenocephalides felis (cat flea), 476 nucleotides. RefSeq lists it as uncharacterized. The record is from RefSeq and is a predicted model, not a curated record. The transcript has 2 exons. NCBI's taxonomy places the organism in Eukaryota, Metazoa, Arthropoda, Insecta, Siphonaptera, Pulicidae.